Molecule: long non-coding RNA, 1174 nt
Organism: Dendronephthya gigantea
Lineage: Eukaryota; Metazoa; Cnidaria; Anthozoa; Malacalcyonacea; Nephtheidae
Exons: 3
Source: RefSeq, a predicted model, not a curated record
AGGGUGUCGAAACGUUGGGUCGUGAAAGUUAAUCUUUGUGUGGUGAUUACUUUAAUUUAUUAAAACCAGAGUAGUGAUAAUUACAAUGGAGUAAGUAUUUAUUACUGCAAAGCUUUUGGUCCAUUAACGUAGGCCUUUAUUAGUGUAAUUUCCUGAAAACAAGGUUAUUGCAAGGUGAAAAGGCUAAACAAGUAAACAAGGUAAAAACAAAUGUUAUCCUUAUUGGUAAACAAGGUAAUUGGUUGUUUUCAGGUAUUGCUCUGAUGAAGGCCCGGGUUAAUGGACCAAAAGCUUUGCCGUAAUAAAUACUUAGGUGGUAAGCUAAUUUACUUAUUUGAUGUCACCAUGCAAACAUAUAAGAAUAUUUAAUUAACCUUAAAAUAGUUGUGUUGCAUGAAUGUAGCAUGUGUGAAUUCAUGGAGGCUGGUUGUGGUAUACAUUUUAAUCACCAUGCAUUAUUUCUAACAGGACACAAUCAUUCUACCUGGUAUUCCAAUAUUUUGGAGAAAUGGGAAAAAUUAGUAACAACCUAGGUUGCUCUCUUUUAUAGGGUAAAAAGACUAGCCUGGUCCUGUUGUAUUUUAGUAAAGACAGACUACAGUACAGAUAUUUUAGAGUGUUUCAAUAGUUCUUCACCCAAAUUAUCAAUUGAAAGAUAAGAACCAUCAUAAAGCAAAAUCUAACAAAAUGGAUUUAUCUUGCCAGUCAUGCAAGGUGGCUUUUCUUACCUCAGGUCAGACACGCGGUCAUAAAUUCAGCUUAGUUGGUGGUGUCGAGCUUUUUGGUCUUGUCGGGUAUCAUCAAGGCAUCAUCGUCAUCAGAUUAGCCGAAACCUACCGUUUCGUACCCCGCGUAUAGAAAGUUAGUAAUGUUUCUGUCGAUUGUCAAAGUUGACAUUGAAUUACUCUGCCACGUGGAGACGGAAAAUCAUUUUGGAAGAUUUGAAUGUUUAUUCUUACAACCUUCAGAUCUACAUAUUUACAAUACAUAUUUAUCUGAUUUGUUGUCUUUAUUGCAUGGCUGUGCAUAUUUCCUGAAUUUGUAUGCUGGGCGUGGUUAUUUAAUAUUGUACAAUGUACAAUAUUCUUAUAUAGCGCAUAAUAAUAUUGCAUUUUUACAUCCUUUUGAUAUUAUUAACAAAUUUAUUUUUAAUAAUGUUCUUGUACGUUUGCAU